GAUGAAGAACGUAGCGAAAUGCGAUAAGUAGUGUGAAUUGCAGAAUUCAGUGAAUCAUCGAAUCUUUGAACGCACAUUGCGCCCCUUGGUAUCCCGAGGGGCAUGCCUGUUCGAGCGUCAUUUCACCACUCAAGCCUGGCUUGGUGUUGGGCGACGUCCCCUUUGGGGACGCGCCUCGAAACGCUCGGCGGCGUGGCACCGGCUUUAAGCGUAGCAGAAUCUUUCGCUUUGGAAGUCGGGGCCCCGUCUGCCGGAAGACCUACUCGCAAGGUUGACCUCGGAUCAGGCAGGGAUACCCGCUGAACUUAAGCAUACAAUAAGCGGAGGA
This 328-nucleotide unclassified non-coding RNA is filed under the name soil metagenome. RNAcentral's name for it is "partial contains 5.8S ribosomal RNA, internal transcribed spacer 2, and large subunit ribosomal RNA". The stretch from base 1 to 120 matches the Rfam family "5.8S ribosomal RNA", at positions 35 to 154 of the family's 154-position model. The record is from RNAcentral.